UACAGAGGGUGCAAGCGUUAAUCGGAAUUACUGGGCGUAAAGGGCUCGUAGGCGGCCAACUAAGUCAGACGUGAAAUCCCCAGGCUCAACCUGGGAACUGCGUCUGAUACUGGAUGGCUUGGAUCCGGGAGAGGGAUGCAGAAUUCCAGGUGUAGCGGUGAAAUGCGUAGAUAUCUGGAGGAACACCGGUGGCGAAGGCGGCAUCCUGGACCGGUAUUGACGCUGAGGCGCGAAAGCCAGGGGAGCAAACGGG
This 253-nucleotide ribosomal RNA is filed under the name uncultured bacterium. RNAcentral's name for it is "partial 16S ribosomal RNA". It matches the Rfam family "Bacterial small subunit ribosomal RNA", at positions 524 to 776 of the family's 1533-position model. The record is from RNAcentral.